This is a non-coding RNA of Microcebus murinus (gray mouse lemur), 1204 nucleotides long. The record is from the annotation of a RefSeq genome assembly. NCBI's taxonomy places the organism in Eukaryota, Metazoa, Chordata, Mammalia, Primates, Cheirogaleidae.
GGGAGAGGAGCCCCAGCCCCAGUAUUCCCAGGUGUCCCCAUUUGGUGACCAGGACUGAACACAGAGACUCACCAUGGAGUCUGGGCUGGGCUGGGUUUUCCUUGUUGCUCUGUUACAAGUGUCCCCGACCCAACCCAAGGUCUUCCCACUGAGCCUUCCAAGACCUAAGCAGAGCAAUCCCGUGGUCAUCGGCUGCCUGGUCCAGGGCUUCUUCCCCGCGGAGCCGCUGAGCAUGAGCUGGAGCAAAACCAAUGGCGUGACCGUCACUCAGUACCUGCCCAGCCAGGCUGGCGCUGGGGGCCUGUACACCGCCAUCAGCCAGCUGACCCUGCCGGCCGACCAGUGCCCGGAUAGCAAGUCCGUGCCGUGCCGCGUGCAGCACAACUCCAACUUCGACAAGGAAGUGUCCGUGCCCUGCGGCCAUGUCAUAAAGCCGAACUCCUCCUGCUGCCAUCCCCGGCUGUCACUGCACCCGCCGGCCCUCGAGGACCUGCUCCUGGGCUCAGACGCCAACCUCACGUGCACGCUGAGCGGCCUGGUGGAACCCACGGGCGCCACCUUCAUCUGGCAGCCCUCAGCGGGGCAGGCCGCCGUGCAGGGGACACCCGUGCGGGACUCCUGCGGCUGCUACAGCGUGUCCAGUGUCCUGCCCGGCUGCGCCGAGCCGUGGAACAACAGGCAGACCUUCACGUGCACCGCCACCCACCCUGAGUCCAAGGAAACACUAACUGCCAGCAUCACCAAAGUCUCAGGGGACAACUUCCGGCCCCAGGUCCACCUGCUGCCGCCGCCGUCGGAGGAGCUGGCCCUGAACGAGCUGGUGUCGCUCACCUGCCUGGUGCGCGGCUUCAGCCCCGAGCAGGUGCUGGUGCGCUGGCUGCGCGGCUCCCAGGAGCUGCCCCCCGGGGACUACCUGACCUGGCCGUCCCGGCAGGAGCCCGGCCAGGGCGCCUCCACCUUCGCGGUGACCAGCGUGCUGCGCGUGACGGCCGAGUCCUGGAAGAACGGGGACAACUUCUCCUGCAUGGUGGGCCACGAGGCCCUGCCACGGGCCUUCACGCAGAAGACCAUCGACCGCCUGUCGGGUAAACCCACCCACGUCAACGUGUCCGUGGUCAUGGCAGAGGUGGACGGCACCUGCUACUGAGCCGCCCGCCCACCUGCCCCCUGAAUAAACUCCGAGCUCGCCCCACGCAGCCCUGCA